This 1367-nucleotide ribosomal RNA is filed under the name Chthamalus antennatus. RNAcentral's name for it is "16S ribosomal RNA". The stretch from base 618 to 1367 matches the Rfam family "Archaeal large subunit ribosomal RNA", at positions 1423 to 2855 of the family's 2987-position model. The record is from RNAcentral. Lineage: Eukaryota; Metazoa; Arthropoda; Thecostraca; Balanomorpha; Chthamalidae.
UGGUAAUUCCAAGGUUCUUAAUUAUUAACAAAUCGUUUAAUUAAAAAUUUUAUUAGAAAUACAACUAAUUUUAGUAGUCUUAACGAAAAUUAUUUAGAACGAUAGAUUAUAAGUACUGUAGAGGAAAUUUUGAAAAAUUUGAAACAUUUUAUAUAUAAAUAGUACUAUUAAAAUUAGGUAACUUUUGUAUCAGCGAUUAUUAAAUUAAAGAUUUAUUUUCUUUCUCGAAAAUAAAAGAUCUAUAAAUUUAGAUUGGUUCUUGUGUCAAUAAGAUCAAAUAAAUUUUUAUAGGAGUGAAACAUUAAACGAUUUUAUUAAUAUCUAGUAACUUUAGAAAUAAAUUUAGUUUAGGACUAUGGGGGUAAGUUUAUUAUAAAUUUUAUCUUAAUUACUUCUUAAAUUUUAAGGGAUGAGCUUUAAAAUUAUUUUAUAAAAAUUAAUUUUUUUAAUUUUUAUCUAGGCUUAAAAUUGGCCAUAAAAAAUUGUUAUAAAUUAUUAUAGAAAUGAAAUGAUUUAUUAUUUUUUAAGUAUUUAUAAAGUUAUUUAAAAAAUCUUUUUAUUAAGGAAAAUAUGAUAAUAUAAGUAGAAUUUGUUUUUAAAGAUUAAUUUUUAAAUUUUUCUAUUAAAAAUCUUUAAAUUUUUGUGGUAAAAGAAUUCGGCAAAAAUGAUUUCCGAAUGUUUAACAAAAAAAUUUUCUCUCAGAACAGGAGGUAAAGCCUGCUCACUGAAUAAUUAAAGAGCCGCAGUAUUUUGACUGUGCUAAGGUAGCAUAAUCAUUAGUCUUUUAAUUGGAGACUGGUAUGAAUGGUUUAACGAGAAAUCCCCUUUUUUUAUUGUAUAAUUUGAAUUUAUUUUUUUAGUGAAAAAACUAAAAUUUACCUGAAAGACGAGAAGACCCUGUAGAGUUUAAAAUGUAAUUUCUUUGUUUUAUACUAGAUUUUCUAUAGAACAAUUUAUGUACAUUAUUUGUUGGGGCGACAUUAAGAUAAGAAAAACUCUUUUUUUUAAAAACUUUUAUGAAAGCAUUGUUUGAUCCUUUAAAAAAGAUAAUAAGAUAAAAUUACCUCAGGGAUAACAGCGUAAUCUUUUUUGAGAGUUCCUAUCGACAAAAAGGUUUGCGACCUCGAUGUUGGACUAAAAUUUAGACGUAGUGCAGUAGCUACGUUUUAGGGUCUGUUCGACCCAUAAUAUUUUACAUGAUCUGAGUUCAGACCGGCGUAAGCCAGGUUGGUUUCUAUCUUCUGGUUUUUUAAAAUCAAUUUAGUACGAAAGGAUUGAUUGAUUAUAAUUUUUAUAUUUUUUGAUUAACAUUAAUUUCUAUUAUAUAAAUUUGGCAGAAAAUUGUAUUAGAUUUAGAAUCUAAAUAU